This is a long non-coding RNA of Myotis davidii, 906 nucleotides long. RefSeq lists it as uncharacterized. The transcript has 6 exons. NCBI's taxonomy places the organism in Eukaryota, Metazoa, Chordata, Mammalia, Chiroptera, Vespertilionidae. The record is from RefSeq and is a predicted model, not a curated record.
UUGCUAGAUUAAACGGUAGUUCUAUUUUUAAUUGAGGAGCCUCCAUACUGCUUUCCAUAGUGUCUCUACCAUUUUAUAAUUUCACAAACAGUGUAUGAGAGUAGAACACAUUUCUUUUUAAAAAAAAUAUAUCUUUAUUGAUUUCAGGGAGAGAGAGAAACAUCAAUGAUGAGAGAGAAUGAUUGGUCAGCCACCUAUUGCACGCCUCCCACCGGGAAUUGAGUCUGCAACACAGGCAUGUGUCCUGACCGGGAAUAGUACCAUGACCUCCUGGUUCAUAGGUCGACGCUCAACCACUGAGCACAACUGGCUGGAUAGAACACAUUUCUUUGGGAUUGUAUUGGACUGAUUUAUCCUUUCCCAUUUCUUUAUUUUAUUUCUGUGUUAUGUUUUUAGGAGUGCGGCUUGUGAAUAGCAUGGAGCUGGAAUUACUUAUCCGAUCUGUGAAUCUGUCUUUAAACUGCUCUUUGCCCACAGCGGUGGAGGUAGUGAGAAAUGGCCAGGUCCUCGGUGUCUUUAAAGAAGCAGUUGCUGGGAAGUAUUGGGUGUCAAAGCCUUAUUGGAGAGGGUUCAAGAGAAAAUGGACAGAGGAACCGUUGGGCCACACCACGAGGAAGCAAUGAGCCAAAUCUAGGACGUGGAACAUUCAUUCUACAGGGCAACUGGCCUGGUUUCUUCAAAAGAGAAGGAAGUUCCCACUGACAGAUGGAAACACAAAAGGAAGUGUGUUAUUCCUCUCUAGACAGCACACUCCCCUCACUGGACUUCUUUUGGCAUGAGAUCCUCACAACAGACUGGUGACAUAGCUGGCAUUAUCACACCCAUUUUCCAGUGGUGAAGAUGAAGUUCAAAGAUGUAAGUAACUAUCCAGUAUGUUCUGCUCACCAGAGAAUGUGUGUGUGUGUG